Non-coding RNA from Cricetulus griseus (Chinese hamster), 2591 nucleotides. NCBI's taxonomy places the organism in Eukaryota, Metazoa, Chordata, Mammalia, Rodentia, Cricetidae. The record is from the annotation of a RefSeq genome assembly.
UGCCCACUAAGUGCAAGAGGUCCAAUAGUAGAGUUUAAGCAAGAAACCAUAGAGGAACAGUGAUGAGCUUCAGACCUUCCAGACGCAAACUCACAGGCAUAGUGUGUCCCUCAAGACAGCACCUGCAAGGUCUUUUAAAAUGCAUGUAGAGAUCUCACACAAUACUGUCAAGAUCCCCAGACUGGGAUUCAGGAAACAGUCUCUGAUUUUCAUUUGGAGGAAGCAGAAGAGCCUGUGCCCACAUCUCACUACUACCCAGGUUCAAAGUUCUUUUUUCUCUGAUGCACUCAGGAAAAUUAGUUUAGGCACCAGGACACCCUGAAUGUUUAGCCUCUUGAACUCGGGAAAGCUUGGAUUGACACUAUGGGGUCAAGAGGGUCAGCAGAGAACUGGCAGUAAUGACUACCUGUUGUUCAAAUUUUUCUUGGUGUAAUUGGCUAUGAUUGUACUCAGCUCAAUUCGCUCAUAAUUUUUACUCCGUAGCUUAAAGGAGAGUUCCUCCAACUUCUCCAUCUGCUGGUCCUGCUCAGUGAAGGUGGCCAGUUGGGAUGGUGCCUCCACAGUAGUCCCUGCAGGUAGAUAAAGACAAGUGAACUAGAAUCCUUGAAUGACAUAGGGCCAGGGGAGUCUAUUCUGGGUACCAAGAAGAAGCCCAAGGAAGAUGAAUUGCUAAGGACGCAGUGAAGGUCCUAGAGAACAGGGCAGCUAUUCUCACACUGGUAUCCAUGAGCUGACUUCAAACACCAUGCUUAGUCAUGUGCCUCAUUUCCUGAUUUAGUCCCCUGUCCAAGAAGGCAUAAGCUGCCCCACUCAUGAAGAUUUGGUGGACAGUGUCACCUCAUAUCUGAUGUUAUGCAGGUUUCCAACAGAAAGAGUGGUACAGAUUACAUCUGGAUUAAAGAUCUGAAUGAAAGAGACUUCUCCCACAACAGAGCUGCAGACUUCUUGGUGUUCAGCCAUGCUCCUGAUGCUCCUCCCAGUGCUGGGGCUGCACAUUUUCCUGAGAGACUCAAGAGCACAGUCAGUGACUCAGCCUCAAGCUCGCAUCACAAUCACUGAAGAAGCCUCUCUGCAGCUGAGAUGCAACUAUUCCUCCAGUGUAGUGCCCUACCUGUUCUGGUAUGUCCAGUACCCACGGCAGGGGCUCCAGCUGCUCCUCAAGUAUUAUUCAGGAGAACCCGUGGUUCAUGGCUUGAGCGGCUUUGAGGCUGAGGUUAGCAAGAGUGACUCUUCCUUCCACCUGAAGAAAGCAUCUGUGCACCUGAGCGAUUCGGCUGUGUAUUUCUGUGCUCUGAGUGCACAGUGUCUGGGUCUGCAGGGAGAGCUGAACAUAAACACCCAUGGCAGUGAAGUGCUCAACUAAAGGUCUCUUCUUGGGUCAUUAAAGGAUCUCUUUCAGCUGCCUUUGGACAACUCUGUUCUUGCAACAAUAUCCACUGUCUGAUUUUGUCUCAGAAGCUCUUUGCUUAUUUCUGAAAUUAUGUGAUGCUCAAUCAUAGUUCCACAGAGUGGAGGAGACUGCUAUUAUCUGUGAGAAUCAUUUCCAGGGUGAACAUUGCUUAGACUACAACCACAUUGACUGAUUGUGUGCAGGGAAGCUGUCUUCCAUUUGUUGUUUUAUGUGUUGUCUGCACAGAAUUGAAAGUGUACUCUUCAGGCAUUGGUCUGAGCUUUGCCUUCGCUACUGAGUCCUUCAUACUGACUUUCAUGUAAUUCUUCUUUGGGUGUCAAAUGUACUGAUCAGAAUUGGUCAUAAUUUUUAAUUAUUUCCAUCUAGGAAAGAAAUUGAUACAUUGUUAGUCAAUAUAGCAAUCCACCAGAAUCCUGGAAGCUUAGAAAUCUGAAAUAUUUGUGUAAGUUAUAGCAACCACUAAAAUUAAAACAGGAGAAGAAGGAAUUGGAAAUUGUUGAUGUUUUUUUAAAGAAAUCUCCACAGUUAUAAAAAUACUGCUUUACUUUUGGUCACACAUUUUUACAAAUCAACUUGAGCAUUUGUGGUAUGAUUUCUUCAGCAUCUUAUAUUUCUAAAUGUUGUUUUCACCCUAGUUCAUAUGAUUUUACUACUGGAACAUCAAAGAUAAAUUCUUUUAUCCUAACAUAGCAGUGCCCUAGUGAAAACACAGGCAAGAGUUGUAGUUGACAUUAGGGCAACCUGGCUCCAUUAUGGAAUUUUAAUUCCUCCUCCCUGAAUUUGGGAGAGUUGUAGAAGAUUUUAUGCUUCUGUUCUUACAGCCUAGGAGGAUGAAAAUACUCAGGAUAAAAGGAGAAGAGAGAAUUUUUCUAGCUGAUGCUUGCUGAAACACAGGAAAUGGGCAGGUGACAUGGAGCCAUGAGCACCUGAGUAUGAUUUUCACAUAAAAGGCUGUGUGUGGUGGCUGUGCUGGGGUGUGAGCACAGACAGAUCCCUAGAGCCCACUACUCAGCCAGCCUAGGCAGACCAUGGAUCCAUUUAUCAGAGAGUGCUUGUAUCCAAUAAAUAAGUUGGACAGAUCCCUAAUAAUGACAUCCAAGGUUGACCUCUGCCCUCCACAUUCAUGGACACACAUUUUCAGUCAAACACACAUAUGUGCUCGAGCACGCAUGAGCACACC